CCUACGGGAGGCAGCAGUGGGGAAUAUUGCACAAUGGGGGAAACCCUGAUGCAGCGACGCCGCGUGCGUGAAGCAGUAAUUCGUUAUGUAAAGCUCUAUCAGCAGGGAAGAAAAUGACGGUACCUGAGUAAGAAGCCCCGGCUAACUACGUGCCCGCAGCCGCGGUAAUACGUAGGGGGCAAGCGUUAUCCGGAUUUACUGGGUGUAAAGGGAGCGUAGACGGCAGUGCAAGUCUGGAGUGAAAGGCGGGGGCGCAACCCCCGGACUGCUCUGGAAACUGUACGGCUGGAGUGCAGGAGAGGUAAGUGGAAUUCCUAGUGUAGCGGUGAAAUGCGUAGAUAUUAGGAGGAACACCAGUGGCGAAGGCGGCUUACUGGACUGUAACUGACGUUGAGGCUCGAAAGCGUGGGGAGCAAACAGGAUUAGAUACCCGGGUAGUC
Molecule: ribosomal RNA, 440 nt
Filed under: uncultured bacterium
Lineage: Bacteria
Description: partial 16S ribosomal RNA
Rfam family: Bacterial small subunit ribosomal RNA
Source: RNAcentral